AGAAACACUCUGCUACAGAACAAGUGUCUUGGUUCACAGCAAAGAGGACAAAGAAAACAGCAAGUUUUAGGGGGUUGAAUCCUGGAUUCCCCUGGCAAACACCAUUCUACUUUCCGUCUCUAUGAAUUUGACUACUCGAAGUACCUCAUUAAAAGAAGAGAAAAAACAUCAAUUAGAAAAUAGAAAAGAGCCCUCCCUGGUGAAUUCCUGCUUCUCCUCCAUGUCAUCAUAGGUGUUGAUGGUGCUUGCCUCUGGAUAAUGCUGACUUCCUCUAGAGUGGUCACCAAGGUGAAAUGUUGGUGCCAAAUGAACUUUUCUGGUUCUUCUGAAUAGACCCACAAAAGAAGAGAUACUGAGGUGGUGACCAGAUGGAUAUAAACGGGCUGUGGAAAAAGAGAAUGCAUGGCCAAAAAUGGUGGUGCUCUCUGUCCAAAAACUGAGGCCCUAUGACCAUGAAUGAAGCCAGAGGGCAGGUAGGAAUAGAUCAUUUGCUCCAGAAGAAGCUGGUUGCCAUGUCUUGAGGACAGUAAACCCUCUGGGGAGGUUCCUGUGGUAAGGAACAAGGGCUCCUGGCAAUAGCCUCUGAGUGAGCCACCUUGAAAAUGGAUUGUCCAGCCCCAGUCAAGCUUUCAGAUGACUGUAGCUCCUGCCAAUGUCUUCACCACAACCUCAUGAGAUCCCAAGCUACAACCACUCAGAACUUCAUCUUUUGGGAAGCACCAGGGAGAGCUGCCUGUGCCUGGCAGAAGCUGCCCAUGCCCCACUGAUACCCCACAGUACUUCCUGUUCUGCUUAGUACUCCUGCUUCUUUCUACAAACAACUGUGAUUCUCUACCUGGGAGCUUCCUCUGGCCACAGGAGCCUGCUCACCUGAUUGGGACACCCUAGCAGUACUGGCUCAUAGAUGGAAGGGACUUGCCUUGUCGCUGAUGAGACUUUCGACUUGGACUUUUGAGUCAAUGCUGGAAUGAGUUAAGACUUUGGGGAACUGUUGGAAGGGUGUGAUUGUGUUUUGAAUUGUGAGGACAUGAGAUUUUGAAGAGGCUAAUGGCAGCGUCCCCACCUAAAUCUCUUCUUGAAUUGUAGUUCCCAUAAUCCCCACGUGUCGUGGGGUGGAGCCGGUGGAGAUAAUUGAAUCAUGGGAACACUUUCCCCCAUGCUGUUAUUGUGAUUGUGAAUUCUCACGAGAUCUGAUGGUUGUAUAAACGCCUUCCCUCUUCGCUGGGCACUCAUUUUUCUCCUUCCUGCCACCAUGUGAAGAAGGAUAUGCUUGCUUCUUGUGCCAUGAUUGUAAGUUUCCUGAGGCCUCCCCAGCCAUGCUGAACUGUGAGUCAAUUGAACCUCUUUCCUUUAUAAAUUACCUAGUCUUGGAUAUGUUUUUAUUAGCAGUGUGAGACAGGACUAAUACACAAAGGAUUUGAAAUCACAAAGGAGCUGUUUUCUGCUCCACCAUGGAAGUCUCACAUGCAUCACAUCUAUUCAUAUCCAUUUGCCACAACUAGACAAAAAGUCCUUUUUAAAAUCUGCCUAGAGAUCAGGAAGUAUUAUCUCUGGAUGCCUAGGCAGGAGAGGUGAAUCAGAUAUUGGUGGGCACUAGUGUGUUCUAUGAUACAUAGCUUAAUAAAAAUAAGUUUCAGAUAAAUCUAAAUAUACAUUAGAAUACUGUAACCACAGUAGAAAAAAAUAUUGGCUCCUUUUUGUGAUAAACUAAUGAUGGUAAAUGCACCCUAUUUAAGCAAGAAAAGAAACUGAUCUGCCAUAAAGAAAACAAUGACAUAUUUAACUACAAAAUAUGUUACAAAAUAUUAAUAUCCCUAAUGGACAAAUGAGUUCCAAUAAAUGGAUAACAAAAAACCAAUAAGUCUGUAGAAAAAUGGAGAAAAUAUAUUUGCAGAAUAUUUAUACAGGUGGUAAUGAAAUUGACAAUGAUGUUUAUCAUCAGCAGUAAACAGUAAAAAGUUUCACCCACCAGGACUAUAGAAAUUUUUCAAAUGGAUAAUUUUCAGAAUCAGCAAAGUUAUAGAAAAGUAGGUACCAGUUGCACAUACCAUUGGAGGAAAUGUAAAAUAUAGUUACCUUGUGGAAAGUAAUCUGAUGUAAUAUAUUAAAAUUUUAUCCAUGUAUGUCCUAUAAUUCAGCAAUUCCAUGUUGGGGAAUCCAUACAAAGAAAUACUUAUACACAUGCAGAAGGAGCUAAGUUUAAGAAAGCACACAUUUCAGCGGGUUGUGGUGUCUCACCCCUGUAAUCCCAGCACAUUGGGAGGCCGAGGUUGGUGGAUCACCUGAGGUCAGGAGUUUGAGACCAGCCUGGCCAACAUGGUGAAACCCUG
This 2330-nucleotide long non-coding RNA is filed under the name Homo sapiens (human). RNAcentral describes it as "STXBP5 antisense RNA 1". The record is from RNAcentral. Lineage: Eukaryota; Metazoa; Chordata; Mammalia; Primates; Hominidae.